CCACCCCCCCGCUGGACGAAGCGAAGUGGAAACCGGCGGCAAACUUCGCCCAUUAGCAGGAAACAUGAAGACAAAAAAGAGAAAGAUAUUUUUCAAAAUACAAUGCACUGUUUUGUGGACGCGCAAUAACUUAUUUUUUAUAAUGUUAAGCAUAUAUAUAUAUAUAAAUAUAUAUAUAUAUAUAUGUAUAAAGGGUCAAAACAAAAGGACUGCGAGGAAGAAGUGGACUCUGAAGCAAAGUGAAGGAGUCGAGUUUGUCGGGAUGGAGACCCUGUCUGUAAACUCGCCGUCCAAUCAGAGCGUCCAUUGCUUGAAGCCAAAAUGCAUCCAGAAACUGGAAUAUACUGUAGAAUGCAAAAAACCACACAAACACACAUAGGGGAAAAUAUAUAUGUAUAAAGAGAAAGGCUGUAUACAACAUGUCCAAAUAGACGAUAAUGGUCACAUAUUUGGGCUUAGGUACUAUUGCAGAAUACGCCGGCUUGGGCCGGUUAGAUGAGCUGACCGUGCAAUCGCGUUCCAUCUUUCACAUAAUCUGAAUUUUUUCCAUUUCAAUGGUUCUUCGUAAAGUCUGUUGAGGGGUCGACCCUCCGGCCCCGCGUAGAGACCUCAUAGAUCUUUAUUGUCCACCACCAGCACACUGUUGUAUGUCCAUACGUAGAGGCCACACACGGUACGAGAAUAUUCCCCCUCGCCGCGCUGCUCACCGGAUUUGUAGAUACCGGCUUUUACUAAUGAGUCCUCCCCUUGCUGCACCGCGUCAUUCUGUCAAAAUGUGUUUUUAAAUCCGUCAGGACCACGAAUUAAAGUCCCUCAGCAUUUUUGCCAUAGUUGUAGUCGUAGAGGAAGUGGGUUCUCAGGGAACUGUGUCGGAGCGGUCACCAGCGCACCACCACCACCACCACCACCAACACCACCACCACCACCACCACCACGGCUUAGGCAGCACCGCCCAUCCGCCUGUGUUGAAUCCGUUUGUGUCUAGAAAAAUCAUUUAAAGGGAUAACUCAAUUAAAAUCACACGUCACCGUGUUUUUAAGUAGCCAGUAGUCGUGUCUGGUGACGCCGAGGUUUUUACACGUGUCUCGAUAUCUUAACAGCGACUUCUUUUUCCAGAAAUUUGUUGGCCCGAGACGUUCGCUAACUAACGUACGAGGCCGGCCGGCCGGUUGCAGUUGUUAGGAAGCUGACCAGGAGCAUGCUAGUUAUCUGGUUUAAUGCUAGCACGAGCCAGCUACGAGCGCCAAACCAGAUUAAGCGACCAACAAAUACAAACAUACAUUUGAAAGUAUAGCUAGCUAGUAGCAUGCUAGUUAUCUGGUUUAGUGCUAGCGCGAGCCAGCUACGAGCGCCAAACCAGAUUAAGCGACCAACAAAUACAAACAUACAUUUGAAGUAUAGCUAGCUAGUAGCAUGCUAGUUAUCUGGUUUAGUGCUAGCAUGAGUCAGCUACGAGCGCCACCUAGUUGGCUAGAAAUCAAGCUAAUCAAGCUAUCAUAAAAAAAUGCAUUUUAAAAGUAGGCCUGCUAGCCAGUAGCAUGCUACAUUAGCUUGAUGACGAACAAGACAUUUCAUUUCCAUGUCAGAGUUCAUCAAAACAAACAUUUUCUUCAUCUAAUCAGCUGCUUUUCUCCCUCUCGUAGUUGCCUUGUUUUGUCCGACAACAAUUCAAAGCGGAAAAAUAUUCUAUUUCAUAAAACUAGCGUAUUGGCCAGUGUUGGUGUUUCGUCAAUCUUGCCAAUCAAUCUCGUCAAUCUCAAUCAUUUGAGUGAUGACUCAAUAAUAAAAUCCCCAAAGUAGCAAUAUAUUUGCUGUAAUCCAGUUGAUUAAAAGUCCUCUGUCAACUUUUCUGGAAAAAGAUGUCUCUGUUGAUUUUAAUUUUAUAUUUUCAUGCCGUGAGAUUGCAUCUCAACUCUGCUGCACGUGUAUUCGUGCGGAGGUUCUUAAACUCUGUCGCUGCGACGACCACGCGCUGAAACGCCGGUAAAACGUGCAAUUCUUUUUGCAAUUAGGAUUGUCCUUUUAACUCCAGUUAGUGGUACCAGUUGUAUGUACAGAAGAGACUGUUGCACGUAAAUGUAUGAUCACAAAAAAAAGGAAUUUGGGGAUAAUCAUGUUGUUCUGACUCCGUACUGUAGUCCAUUAACUGAUAUUUUGUGUUUCGGUUUGAGCCGGUUUGGUGUUCUGCUUUCUCUCGUCUUCAUGAAUGUAUUUUAUACCUGUACUGUCCCAGCUCAUUAUGCUACUGCCCACCUGUGAAGUUAGUGCACCCCCCUCUGGUCUCCCCCCUGGUUUGGUUGUUACAGCCCGAAGCCCCACAUCACAAACCCACAGCAGCAGAACGUUCCUGUUUUCGUUCAUCUUCUCAUUCUGACUCCGGAUCAAUGAGGACGUUCUUGGUUUCCUCAAGUCUGGUUUUCUUAAAGGCCUUAACAGCUGAUUCUUUUCAUGGCAUUAAUGCUGUUUGAUUUUUUAUUUUUUAGCUGUGUGGAGUUUCUGUUUUGCCACAUAUUGCCUUAUUAGAACACAUUGGGUUUGUAUGUGAUGUGCUGUUUGUAUGAUAGAACACGGAGGCUGGGGAGGAGGUUACCGUUUGGGCAUUGGGUUCAUUUGUCAGAUCACUGCUCUUUCAUGGCUGCUUUUACGCGAGCCUCUUUGUCUCUUUCCAUUCAGGUUUUACUCGUGUACAAAGUUUAAUUAUUGGUUAUUAUGUGGCCGUUCGUUCCCCACUUGUCUUAAGUAGUUUGCUUCGAAAUGUUGUGUGGCACAGAGUUUGAUCCUUUUGGCCACAUCGGAAGAUAUAAAUGUCCCGCUUGCUUGUCUCGGAGGUUGCAAGAACAACGAGACGUUUGGAGAGACAGUGUGAGGCGUUUUUAAAAAACACUUGUACUGAAAUAAACUUCCUGAAAAUCAAACCGCGCCGUCCCUUUCUUUCUCCCCGUAAAGUCAAAUAUCUAUGCAGAAAUGUUGUGCAUGAACAUUUGAACUUAAAGUUAAAGUACAGCCUCAAGUACCUCAUUGCUUUAAUACAUUUUAAAAUGUCACAAUAUAAAACCGUAAACUAAAAUCAUAAAGGCGUUAUUGUAGUACGUAUGUACUGUGUGCGCGUGUGCCAGAUGCCGCCACCAGGGGGCAGGAAGUGACCGGUCACAUCAGGUGAUCAGUCUGGUUGUUUGUUAGGACAAUAAAACAAUCACACAAAUGGGUCAAAUAGGAAAAUGUCAUAUAUAUGUAUACACAUGUUGACAUGUACACAAUUACGUAUACACAUAAAUACACAUACAUUAUUUCACAUGUCUAUAUGAAAGUAACGAUUAUGGGUUAAACUGCACACACGCAUGAACAACAACAGUCUUCCACUCUCCACAGGUCACAAGGUUGGUUCAGAGGUUCCUCACUUUCUGAUUGGCGGGGUCAAAGGUCAACCGAGUGGAGGCAGACAUCAAGAGGUCAAGAACAGGUGGACGCCCCCGUGAGUGAGUGAGUGAGUGAGUGAGUGAGUGAGUGUGUGUGUGUGUGUGUGUGUGUGUGUGUGUGUGUGUGUGUGUGUGUGUGUGACAGACACAACAACAGAGAGGAGUUGCAGCACCAGGAGGAUCCAAAGCCUCAGAGGGUCCUCAGAGAUCCGCUGAAGGACCAUCAUCAUCUUCAUCACGGUGGAGGAGGGUCAUGUGGUCACUUCCUGUCCACUACUCUCAGGGAAGAUGGUGUUUGUUUCCGUCAUGUUCCGGCUCUGCAGCCGUGACCCCCGCUGACCUGUGUUGUGACAGGUGUGUUCUCCAGCACAUCUGCACUGCAGGAAAGGGCUCUGAUUGGACCAGAGGACUUUUUCUCUCCUCAGACUCAUGUGUUCCUGUAUUUAUGUAACAUGGAGAUAUUUUCAGGCGUUAUUGGACUUUUUAAGUGGUAAGAAAACUUCGAGGAGUAAACCUUUGUAAGAUAUUGUGCAGCUUCAGAUUCAGAUUUGAACUGUUUCAAUCAUAGUUUUCAAUCUAAUUACAUUUAGCAUUCAAUAGAGAAACUUCAAAUUGAAUUACUUGUAUAGUAUAUAUAUAUAUAUAUAUAUACUAUACAUCUCCCCUUAACGAUCAUAAGGAUGGAGCACACACCACUGUAGAUCAGUGUUACUAAAAACUAGUAAUUAGUUACUUAUUUAAAGGUAAUUUAAUUACUUACCAGUUACUGUAUAUCAAAAGUAAUUAGUUACUCGACAUAAAAGUAACUUAACUUUUAAGUUACUUUUAUGUCUGCUAACUGUCUAGCUAAUACUUAACUUAAUAGAAAAUAACUGUGUCAUUCACCUGAAGGCAACUGACUCGACAGGUGACAGGAUGCAUCUCACCUUCCACAUCCAGCUGUAGCUCAGCUUUGCUUGUCAGCAUCCGCAGCGCUGUCGUCUCAACAGGUGCUUCAUAAGAUGUGGAUAUCCUCUUUGCACCUGCACAUCAUCUACAACUCACCACCACGUUUUCGUCUUUAAUUUUGACGAGCGAAAAGUAAUGUCCAUCGCCGAAAAAAGACCGGAAAUCCCACAAAUGAUCGUUUUCAGUCAAUGGGAGCUUUUGCUUCGGGACGAUUAAGGUCAUGAGCGAUGUGAGUGAAUGACGUCGUGGGAGAUCUUGCAAGGAGACCCAAUGCCGUUUACAUGCACAUACAGGGACUAUUUUUCUCUACACAACGUUUGGUGGCUACAACUAUUUACUUGCUAUUGGCCGACCCUCAAUAAUAAUUAUUACAAUAAUGCAUUACGUUGUAACGGGUCACUCCCACACUGCUGCAGGUAGAGAUGUAGGACGCAGACUCCCCAGCUGCAGACCAUCGUGUGGGUGUGAGUGUCUGUGUGCGUGUGUCUUUGUCUCUGUGUGUCCGUGUGUCAUCGUGGUGGCGUCUGACUUACACGUCUUUGUGCGUGCAGAUAUUCUCAUUUCCAUCCGCAGUGUGAGAAUACACC
Gasterosteus aculeatus aculeatus (three-spined stickleback) is the source of this 4951-nucleotide long non-coding RNA. The record is from Ensembl. Lineage: Eukaryota; Metazoa; Chordata; Actinopteri; Perciformes; Gasterosteidae.